This 497-nucleotide ribosomal RNA is filed under the name uncultured bacterium. RNAcentral describes it as "partial 16S ribosomal RNA". It matches the Rfam family "Bacterial small subunit ribosomal RNA", at positions 28 to 507 of the family's 1533-position model. The record is from RNAcentral.
GACGAACGCUGGCGGCGUGCCUAAUACAUGCAAGUUGAGCGCUGAAGGUUGGUACUUGUACCAACUGGAUGAGCAGCGAACGGGUGAGUAACGCGUGGGGAAUCUGCCUUUGAGCGGGGGACAACAUUUGGAAACGAAUGCUAAUACCGCAUAAAAACUUUAAACACAAGUUUUAAGUUUGAAAGAUGCAAUUGCAUCACUCAAAGAUGAUCCCGCGUUGUAUUAGCUAGUUGGUGAGGUAAAGGCUCACCAAGGCGAAGAUACAUAGCCGACCUGAGAGGGUGAUCGGCCACAUUGGGACUGAGACACGGCCCAAACUCCUACGGGAGGCAGCAGUAGGGAAUCUUCGGCAAUGGACGAAAGUCUGACCGAGGAACGCCGCGUGAGUGAAGAAGGUUUUCGGAUCGUAAAACUCUGUUGGUAGAGAAGAACGUUGGUGAGAGUGGAAAGCUCAUCAAGUGACGGUAACUACCCAGAAAGGGACGGCUAACUACGUG